RNAcentral lists this ribosomal RNA (332 nucleotides) under uncultured bacterium. RNAcentral's name for it is "bacterial SSU rRNA". It matches the Rfam family "Bacterial small subunit ribosomal RNA", at positions 568 to 898 of the family's 1533-position model. The record is from RNAcentral.
UGUGUAGGUGGAUGCCUAAGUGUUUUGUGAAAUCCCAUGGCUUAACCAUGGAAUGGCUUGACAUACUGGGCGUCUUGAGCCACUCAGGGGCUACCGGAACUAACGGUGGAGCGGUGAAAUGCGUAGAUAUCGUUAGGAACGCCAAUGGUGAAAACAGGUAGCUGGGGGUGUGCUGACACUGAGACACGAAAGCCAGGGGAGCAAACGGGAUUAGAUACCCCGGUAGUCCUGGCCCUAAACGAUGUCCACUAGAUCGUGGCACCUCUGACGGUGUCAUGGUCGAAGCAAAAGUGCUAAGUGGACCGCCUGGGAAGUACGGUCGCAAGGCUAAA